CGAGUCAACUCGGUUUCAAACUGAGUCAGCAAGGAUACGAUUCUAAGGGUGUAAUUACUUAGCGACACUAGAAGGCGAUUCAAAGUAUAAGGUAGUACAGAUGGCUUAAGUGAUAUGCAUGUUCAGACUUGAUGAGGAGCAAGGUACAAUCGCCAGGGAUGCAUGACUGUAUUUGCUUGGAAGAGUUGCAUGAUCUUGUGACUUAUAUUUAUAUGCUUUCUGUUAUUCUUCAUGUAUUGAAUCAUGUCAAUCUUGUACUUGUUUAAAUUCUGAGACAUUGGUUUGUAUAAGUUAUU
Magnolia sinica is the source of this 296-nucleotide long non-coding RNA. RefSeq lists it as uncharacterized. The record is from RefSeq and is a predicted model, not a curated record. NCBI's taxonomy places the organism in Eukaryota, Viridiplantae, Streptophyta, Magnoliopsida, Magnoliales, Magnoliaceae. The transcript is spliced from 3 exons.